UGAGAAAGGGAGAGAAGAACCGUUUAAAAGAGCGCGUUUGAUCGCGCAACCGGUGACAUGAAGUACCUCGUUAUUGUUAAAAAUACGCAGUUAUGAAAAUAAAUAUAACAGAGCUACUGAAACGUGUGUGGCAGGCUCUCCAGACCAGGACGAGUGGUGGAGGUCCUCAGCACCACUCUGCCAUUUUGAGUCUGGACAUGCUUGUUCUCUUGACACCACAAGCUCCAUUAACCUGAUGUGCUGACGGGGACGACGGCCCAGGUUUGACGGCAGAGGAGGGUGAGAAAGCUCUUUUGUGUCCAUGACAUAUUGUGCAGCAGACUAUAUUUUCUACACUUUUAUACGGCCAUACACAGAAAAAUAAAAUACAGCUUUCCACACUCUAUCGAAAAGUAGGCUUUGGACAACCAGCUAGACAAGAAUCAGUCAAUUUAAUUGUCACAAGACACUGGAAAACCAUUACAUGCCAAAAGACUUGUUUUCAGGAUUUACUUUUCCAGCAGCAUAAUGGAAUUGCAAAAGUGCAGCCUUGCAUGUCCAUACAGAGAGAUGUUGGAGGAAAGCCAAGUGAUUGAUAGGGGGUCUCUGCUAUAGCAAGCUUUGGAUUUUGUCAUAUUUGUCUUUGGAUGUUUGAUGAAACGAUAACCAUCUCCAUCGGUUGGAAGGGGGCUAGUUUUUCAAGAUUCAAGGCUUGAACUGAACUGAAACACUGCUCGACGGCCCUCAGCUCAGCUCUGGUGAGGAUGGUGAAAAUACAUUCAUGAACUACAGUAUGGAUACAGGCAUUACUCCGCACCUCUAACAGACUCUUCAGAUGAAGUGUACUGCAACUCAGCCGCCCAAACUUGGAUCUUCUCUGCAUUCUGACCUACUGAUCUAUGAAGCAGAGCUCUCGGGAGCGCUAUCAUUCUGAAAAAGCGUUAAUAAAUCCACAUCUCUGUCUGAGAGGGUAUAAAAUAAUCAUGGCGUGACUGGAAUUAUUAGUAUGCACAGUGCCCUAAGAUUCGAUAAAUUUUUAAUCGAGGUGAGCUUGGCUGGGUGUUUUACUGAUGUAGGUUUUUAGGCACUCUCUUAUGAAGAGCUGAUUUUGCCGCGAGGUGAUGUUUGAAUUAUGAGUGUGGCUAACAGUCUCAUCUCAGCCUCAUAAUUUGUGUCUUACUGAAAGAUUUGACGAUGCCUAAUCCAAGAGUUGCUCAUUUUUGUAGAUUAUUACAUCAUAAAUCGGUUGAACGCUAAGGUGGUGUGGUCAUUCUAUGCCAGUUUGUUUUGUGAGCUCUAUUGGACUUGAAAGAGAUUUUCGUGAUUCCAAUUUAAAACCGAUUAGCAAUGGGAUUUAAUAACCAGGCUGUGGCCACCUGUACCAAAGAGGCUCAAACUCAAAAGGCAACUGCUCCCAAUGGGGAGAAAACAGUAAUGGCUUGUAAAAACGUAGUCUGGAUAUGUAGCUAAAAAGUGGUGGAUAAAUAAGCAUGAAGUUAAAUGGUGUGAAUACAAAUAAUGUGUGUUUCUUAAAUAAAUGCAUGUAAUAUAGACCAUACAGGCUUGUGUCACAGCACCCUGAGAAAUGAACUGAAAUAUAACAAAAUAACAACAAAAGAAUGAGAAAUCAUUUCCAGUAUGAUGUCAAAUAAAGGCAUAGAGUUCUGUCAAAGAAUCCAGUCAAGGGGAAAAUAAUCAGAUCUGUAAAGAAAAUAUCUUUCCUUUUUUUUAGUUUUUAGUUUUUUUUGGUCUAAUGUCUUGAAACCAUGAUACCAUUGCCUUUACAUUGGGUGUUCAAACAAAUGGCAAAAUGCGUACAUAUGUUUAGAUGUUAUGCUUCCCCCAAGAUAAGAGGUAACAUGUUUACUUUUCUUCUCCUGGCAGCACUGUGGAGUAGAUUUGCUAUUUGGCACUUCUUUAAAAGGAGAGAUGGUCCGCCAUGUGAAGCAGAUCACCCUGGCCAGUUAACAGUCAUGUAUCUCUGCUGUAAAGCAGCGUGUAUCAUGAGGGAGGAGAAGAGGGCUCAGGACGAUGAUCUCUCGCUCAUGGAAGUGGAGUGUGAUUUUUGAUAAUGAGACACUGUGGCUUUAUCCUUAAGCUUCAGCUGGCUGACAACUCUUAGGCUCAUUGGUAGGAUGAUGUAUAAUGAACGUUGGACAGCACUAUGAGAUGUAAUCAAGCUGUUUUAAAUAGAUGUGCCAAUGAAUUAUAUAGUCAUUUAACAUUUUUAGAGGUAAUUAUGUAAUCAGUAAUUAUAACUGAACCCGAUAACAUUGAUUGCAUUUACAUUACAAUCAGCAUUCUGGAUGCUUAUACAAUGUGCAUACAUUUUGGUGCCAAAACUUGAUGAGUUAGAAUUGAUCUCAUUAAGAAAAAAAUUUUUGUCAGGAUUUUAUAAGAAAACAUUUUUGAUAAUUGCAUUUGUGAGCAGUUUGCCAUGUAAAUGCACUCAGUGAUGCCGUUAUUAAGCUAACUGGCCAAUUUUUGCUGUAGGUAGAUGGUAAAUUGUGUAAGAUGAAAAUAAAUUAGCAUUGCUGGCCUGGCCAUAAUGGGCCUGAGCAUUUGUGCCUUUACUUUAGAUUCCCUGCCGCUUUCUUCCCUUAUAAAUGCCAUUUAUAAGCCAAGAGUUGCCAACACCUAGCAAUGGGUCAAAGCGCUGUGGUCACCUACAAACUGGAGAGAAUGGGACUAGCACACCUCGGAGAAGAAACUGACGCUUUCGGACUAUAACUGUUUAGACCAGGCUCCCCACUGCUCACACAUCAUGCAAAGUGUGGCCAUGAAAGGGCUCUAGAAAGCAAAUGAGGAAAACCACAGGAGGAGAGAGACAGACAGAGAGAGACAGAAUCUGAUAGCUUGGGCUCAAUACCCCCCACCCCCGUUCCCGGCCCACAAUUCUUCAUAGAGCUGAGGGUGAGUGGCUUGUCCUGGUUUUUUUGUGGACAGAAGAAGAGUUGCUUGAAGAACCAGCAGGUGCUAUGGACAUCACUCUUCAGGCUGGGCUAGCAAAGGCCCCUUGUUGCAAGGCCCCCCAAGGCAAAGGAAGAGCAUAGAAAUCAGAACCAAGGGGGAGGGCACUCUAAGCU
Long non-coding RNA from Sinocyclocheilus grahami, 3065 nucleotides. RefSeq lists it as uncharacterized. The transcript is spliced from 3 exons. The record is from RefSeq and is a predicted model, not a curated record. NCBI's taxonomy places the organism in Eukaryota, Metazoa, Chordata, Actinopteri, Cypriniformes, Cyprinidae.